GGAGNAAGGAGAAAGAUCCCUUAUAAAGUUGUGUUAUAUUUAGUAAAAGGUGUUUGAUACAACAAACUAAUUUAAUUGGAUAAUAACAUUUAAUAAUAAAGAAAGUAAAACUUUUGCUCUUGGAAGUAAAUAUCUCGGGUAGUAUUAGUUAAGGGUAAAACUUAACUAGCUUAAUACGCGUAGUCGUGACUGGAAGGUUGAUCGACCACAGUGGGACUGAAUAAAUCCCAUGACGAUUGUCUCAGCAGUGAGGAAUAUUGGUCAAUAGCCUAACGGCUGAACCAGCAACUUGGAGGAAUGUAUAGCGAAAGCUACUUGCAUUUAGCUUAGUUAAAACUAAGUUUAUGCAGGAUUGAUAAUAUCAAAUAAAGUUCUAGGUGGGUUAUGAUGAUGACAUUCCCUAUCUAUGUGUCUUGACCAAAUUACGUGCCAGCAGUCGCGGUAACACGUAAAAGACUAGUGUUAUUCAUCUUUAAUAGGUUUAAAGGGUACCUAGACGGUAAAUCAAGUCCAAAAAGGGUACUAAUUUGCUAGAGUUUAAUGUGAGGGGGCACUAAAGUACUGAUAAGUGUAGAGAUGAAAUUCUGUGAUACAAUAUAAGGCACUGGCAAAGGCGAAAGCAUCUCAUUAUGUAAUAACUGACGUUGAGGGACGAAGGCUAGGUGUAGCCAAAAGGAUUAGAUACCCAAGUAGUCUUAGCAGAAAAUUAUGAAUGUCAUAGGAUGGAAAGUUGAAUGGAUAAACAACAAAUUUUUUUUNCUAUAAAUGAAAGUGUAAGCAUUCCACCUCNAGAGUAAUUUGGCAACAUUGGAACUGAAAUCAUUAGACCGUUUCUGAAACAAG
Molecule: ribosomal RNA, 843 nt
Filed under: Anaptychia palmatula
Lineage: Eukaryota; Fungi; Ascomycota; Lecanoromycetes; Caliciales; Physciaceae
Description: SSU rRNA
Rfam family: Bacterial small subunit ribosomal RNA
Source: RNAcentral